RNAcentral lists this long non-coding RNA (547 nucleotides) under Panax ginseng (ginseng). Its description in RNAcentral is "long non-coding RNA (PGIN_LNC011172)". Lineage: Eukaryota; Viridiplantae; Streptophyta; Magnoliopsida; Apiales; Araliaceae. The record is from RNAcentral.
CACCACCACCACCAUCUAAUAUCACCACUAGGAACAUCAACACCACGAACAAAAUUCAGAUCCGUAUAAUCCACCAACAAAAUUUAGAUCAUCACCAACAAAUUCACCACAUAUACAUACAGAUCCACUCAAUCCAUUUCAGCAACCAACAAAAAAGAAAUCAUAGAUACUCUCAAUUUAAAAAGAAAUCACAAAUUUGAAAAGAAAUCAUAGAUAACGAGCCGGUGAAGACCGAGGUCAGCGGCGAGGGCAUAGUCCAUGGCCAUGGCUCAUGCUGCUGCUCGUAACCGACGCCCAUGGCUGCCACCCGAUCUACCACCGCCGUUGAUCGUAACCGACACCCAUGGCUGCCACCCGAUCUACCAUCGUCGUUGGGCAUAGUCCACGGCCAUGGCUGCUGCUGCUGCUGUUGCUCGGGUGGGCUUUGAUCGGUGGCCAUGGCUGCUGCUGCUCGUUUUGUUGUGGCCAUGACUGCUGCUGCUCCUUUUGAUCUUAGUGGACGGAGGAACGAAUUGGGGGCCAUGGCUGCUGCUCCUUUUUUAAUUAG